UGUAAAGUGCCUGAAAAAUAGGGCUAUCUUGAUGGGAUAGAAAAUGAUGAAAAUCCUUUACAG
This 63-nucleotide transfer RNA is filed under the name Columbicola columbae (slender pigeon louse). RNAcentral describes it as "tRNA-Ile". Lineage: Eukaryota; Metazoa; Arthropoda; Insecta; Psocodea; Philopteridae. The record is from RNAcentral.